CACUGAACUAAAUCCCCAGCCCCAAGACAACAAAUUUCUGAUUGCAUGGAGUAUUUAAAUCGAAGAUGUGGAAUUCUUUGGAGGUUUAUCUCCUGCACUGGAAGGAUGGAACUGAUGCCCUUUCAAGAAACUUUACGAUAAGGGAACUUGCCAUUCACAAAUCAUCAUCCCCAGACUGCAGGAUGGAGCCACCACCAGGGCUGGGAGCCUGUCUGUCUUCCAGAGUAGAACCCCAUCACUAGAGGAACAAGCAGAGGGAAUUCAAGGAGGGACAAUGACCUGUUAAUCUGUACCUUGAGAAUCCAGGCUCCUAAAGCAGGAUGCAGGACAUUUUUGAGCCUUCCUAUAGUUCUGCAACUGCAUACCACAUGAGCAGUAUUCCUGGAACGGUCUGCCUUGGCUGGGGACUAUGGAUUUCCUGAUGGCUUCAGGAUAUACUUCUUCCCCGGAACCCAGUGUUAAGGUCCAGUCAGCUGUGGCAGGGAGGACAAGAAGUAACAUGAAGUAUUUGUCCUGCUUCUUCCCUAAGACUCCACUGCAUUCGAGCUUGAUAUUUUACAGAUGUGAACAACAACAUGUCCAUGUAUUUUUCAACACGGCACCAAACUACUACAAAGACGGAAGACUGGCCUCUGACAUCAUUCUGCCUACACUGUAAUCCUGACGCCACAUUAACCAGCUGCAGAGAUCUUACAGCACACAAGAGGAAAGUAGACACAAGCGAUUUUGAAGAGCAAGGCCUCACGUAAGAAGGCUGAGAGCCUGACUUCCUUUUUUGGUGACUCAGCAGAUGAAGACAGAGAUUUUAACUCGUUCCAGCAAACUACCCCAUUGCCUGACCUGUCUCAAUUUUCUAAGGCUGUUGACUGGGCGUUCCAAAGGCAGUCGUGAACAACACGGCAAUCCUCAAUGUCAACUCAGAUCUCUGUCAUGAAAACACUGGACCAUGCCCAGUUUCCAGGGUUGGAGAGAGACUUAUCACCCUAUUGAAUGCAAGUCCAACUAGGGAAUGCUGUGCAAAGCAAAAAUGAGUUGUACUAUCACCUAGAAACAAGCAAACAAAAUAAACAAAUGUGAGAUGACCAAAUUAAGGAAAAGAGGUGGUCAAGAAAACCAGGAUUUUCCCUCCUCUGAAAACCCUUGAGUGUGGUAACAAAUGGACCACGCUGCCUACUUAUUUUAAAGAGUUGACAGCUAUAAUAUGUGACAUGUAUCAAGUCUAUUUAUGUGCCAGGCAUUCUGUUAAAUGCUUGUACAUUUUCAUACUGAAUCCUUAUAAAUUCCCUUUAGUUAUGAAUAAUUUCUAA
Chinchilla lanigera (long-tailed chinchilla) is the source of this 1307-nucleotide long non-coding RNA. RefSeq lists it as uncharacterized. The transcript has 6 exons. The record is from RefSeq and is a predicted model, not a curated record. NCBI's taxonomy places the organism in Eukaryota, Metazoa, Chordata, Mammalia, Rodentia, Chinchillidae.